GCCCCAUGAAAGCACAUCAGCAGCAUCCGAGAUGCUCAGUGAGCGCAGAGAAGUUUUCCCAUCGUCUCCCAGAGGGCAAAGCUGCCUGGCUCUCAUCUGCAGGAGCCAGCUCUGCAGCCAUCCGCCUGUGGAGGUGGGACAUGCCUUGACUUGUGCUGCCUCAGUGAAGCAAAAAAAGCAGAAUGAGGCAAAGGCAGAUGGACAGAGAGACCAAGACGAGGGAGGAGAGGCAUGGUUGUCCAGUGAGAAGUGAUCUGAGCGUGGCACCAUUGGACAGACUGUGGUUCACAUCUACUGCAGAGAGAAAUCCCUGGAUGGAGGACCUGCCUAGAUACCUGAGCUCUGGGACGUUGGCAGAGAGAGGCUUUCCAGUUCCAGCCAAGCUUGGAAGGGAAACUAUGAGCCGGACUCACAGGUGGAAGCGAAGAGGGGGAGAUGCUUUAGUUUGGCUGCUGUGGGUGUUUCUCUGGCAGUGUCUUAGCUGGUUGUUGUGAGGAGUGAGAACGAAGCAAUCAGCAAGUAUACUGCCGCAGAAACUCUUCGCAAUAAAGAGCCCUGAGCGUGAGAUCA
Molecule: long non-coding RNA, 570 nt
Filed under: Gouania willdenowi (blunt-snouted clingfish)
Lineage: Eukaryota; Metazoa; Chordata; Actinopteri; Blenniiformes; Gobiesocidae
Description: lncRNA (ENSGWIG00000025320.1)
Rfam family: mir-34 microRNA precursor family (bases 461-537)
Source: RNAcentral